AUUGUGUAGCGGUGAAAUGCGUAGAUAUAUGGAGGAACACCGGUGGCGAAAGCGGCUCUCUGGUCUGUCACUGACGCUGAGGCUCGAAAGCGUGGGUAGCGAACAGGAUUAGAUACCCUGGUAGUCCACGCCGUAAACGCUGAGUGCUAGGUGUUAGGUCCUUUCCGGGACUUAGUGCCGACGCUAACGCAUUAAGCACUCCGCCUGGGGAGUACGACCGCAAGGUUGAAACUCAAAGGAAUUGACGGGGGCCCGCACAAGCGGUGGAGCAUGUGGUUUAAUUCGAAGCAACGCGAAGAACCUUACCAGGUCUUGACAUCCCGAUGCCCGCUCUAGAGAUAGAGUUUUUCUUCGGAACAUCGGAGACAGGUGGUGCAUGGUUGUCGUCAGCUCGUGUCGUGAGAUGUUGGGUUAAAGUCCCGCAACGAGCGCAACCCUUAUUGUUAGUUGCCAUCAUUAAGUUGGGCACUCUAGCGAGACUGCCGGUAAUAAACCGGAGGAAGGUGGGGAUGACGUCAAAUCAUCAUGCCCCUUAUGACCUGGGCUACACACGUGCUACAAAAUGGUUGGUACAACGAGUCGCAAGCCGGUGACGGCAAGCUAAUCUCUGAAAGCCAAUCUCAGUUCGGAUUGUAGGCUGCAACUCGCCUACAUGAAGUCGGAAUCGCUAGUAAUCGCGGAUCAGCACGCCGCGGUGAAUACGUUCCCGGGCCUUGUACACACCGCCCGUCACACCACGAGAGUUUGUAACACCCAAAGUCGGUGAGGUAACCAUUUAUGGGGCCAGCCGCCUAAGGUGGGAUGGAUGAUUGGGGUGAAGUCGUAACAAGGUAGCCGUAUCGGAAGGUGCGGCUGGAUCACCUCCUUUCUAAGGA
Molecule: ribosomal RNA, 875 nt
Filed under: Streptococcus sobrinus DSM 20742 = ATCC 33478
Lineage: Bacteria; Bacillati; Bacillota; Bacilli; Lactobacillales; Streptococcaceae
Description: bacterial SSU rRNA
Rfam family: Bacterial small subunit ribosomal RNA
Source: RNAcentral